AUUGAACGCUGGCGGCGUGCCUAACACAUGCAAGUCGAGCGGUAACAGGUGUAGCAAUACAUGCUGACGAGCGGCGGACGGGUGAGUAACGCUUGGGAAUCUGCCUGUUAGGUGGGGGACAACCCGGGGAAACUCGGGCUAAUACCGCAUACGCACUACGGUGGAAAGGCCCGGGGACCGCAAGGCCUGGCGCUAACAGAUGAGCCCAAGUCGGAUUAGCUAGUUGGUAGGUACGCCACCAGGCGACGAUCCGUAACUGGUCUGAGAGGACGACCAGUCACACCGGAACUGAGACACGGUCCGGACUCCUACGGGAGGCAGCAGGUGGGGAAUAUUGGACAAUGGGCGAAAGCCUGAUCCAGCGACGCCGCGUGGGUGAAGAAGGCCUGCGGGUU
Molecule: ribosomal RNA, 395 nt
Filed under: uncultured bacterium
Lineage: Bacteria
Description: bacterial SSU rRNA
Rfam family: Bacterial small subunit ribosomal RNA
Source: RNAcentral